RNAcentral lists this transfer RNA (61 nucleotides) under Brachionus calyciflorus. Its description in RNAcentral is "tRNA-Ala". Lineage: Eukaryota; Metazoa; Rotifera; Eurotatoria; Ploima; Brachionidae. The record is from RNAcentral.
AGACUAGGAAAUAAUCAUUUGUUUACUUGCAAUAAACUGUUUUAUAUAAACUACUAGCCUA